This 492-nucleotide ribosomal RNA is filed under the name uncultured bacterium. Its description in RNAcentral is "partial 16S ribosomal RNA". It matches the Rfam family "Bacterial small subunit ribosomal RNA", at positions 29 to 507 of the family's 1533-position model. The record is from RNAcentral.
AGUGAACGCUGGCGGUAGGCCUAACACAUGCAAGUCGAACGGCAGCACAGUAAGAGCUUGCUCUUACGGGUGGCGAGUGGCGGACGGGUGAGGAAUACAUCGGAAUCUACUUUUUCGUGGGGGAUAACGUAGGGAAACUUACGCUAAUACCGCAUACGACCUACGGGUGAAAGCAGGGGAUCUUCGGACCUUGCGCGAUUGAAUGAGCCGAUGUCGGAUUAGCUAGUUGGCGGGGUAAAGGCCCACCAAGGCGACGAUCCGUAGCUGGUCUGAGAGGAUGAUCAGCCACACUGGAACUGAGACACGGUCCAGACUCCUACGGGAGGCAGCAGUGGGGAAUAUUGGACAAUGGGCGCAAGCCUGACCCAGCCAUACCGCGUGGGUGAAGAAGGCCUUCGGGUUGUAAAGCACUUUUGUUGGGAAAGAAAAGCAGCAGGUUAAUACCCCGCUGCUCUGACGGUACCCAAAGAAUAAGCACCGGCUAACUUCGUG